AAAGGGUUGUUUCCGCAGGUCAGAAGGUCAGCGCGGUCUGCACCCACAGCCCUCUUGAAAACCGUCGUGGCAGCAAUGUCACCGUGGGUUCACAUCCCACAGCCU
RNAcentral lists this transfer RNA (105 nucleotides) under Streptomyces olivoverticillatus. Its description in RNAcentral is "tRNA-OTHER". The record is from RNAcentral. Lineage: Bacteria; Bacillati; Actinomycetota; Actinomycetes; Kitasatosporales; Streptomycetaceae.